GCCGAGGUAGCUCAGUUGGUUCAGAGUGCUCGACUCAUAAUCGAGAGGUCGGGGAUUCGAAAACGUGGUGUAAAAACGUUGCGGAAAUUCCCCCCUCGGCA
This 101-nucleotide transfer RNA is filed under the name Microcaldota archaeon. Its description in RNAcentral is "tRNA-Met". It matches the Rfam family "tRNA". Rfam says of the family: Transfer RNA (tRNA) molecules are approximately 80 nucleotides in length. Their secondary structure includes four short double-helical elements and three loops (D, anti-codon, and T loops). Further hydrogen bonds mediate the characteristic L-shaped molecular structure. tRNAs have two regions of fundamental functional importance: the anti-codon, which is responsible for specific mRNA codon recognition, and the 3' end, to which the tRNAs corresponding amino acid is attached (by aminoacyl-tRNA synthetases). tRNAs cope with the degeneracy of the genetic code in two manners: having more than one tRNA (with a specific anti-codon) for a particular amino acid; and 'wobble' base-pairing, i.e. permitting non-standard base-pairing at the 3rd anti-codon position. Lineage: Archaea; Nanobdellati; Microcaldota. The record is from RNAcentral.